GUACACUCCUGCGGGAGGCAGCAGUGGGGAAUUUUGGACAAUGGGCGAAAGCCUGAUCCAGCAAUGCCGCGUGAGUGAAGAAGGCCUUCGGGUUGUAAAGCUCUUUUGUCAGGGAAGAAACGGUGAGAGCUAAUAUCUUUUGCUAAUGACGGUACCUGAAGAAUAAGCACCGGCUAACUACGUGCCAGCAGCCGCGGUAAUACGUAGGGUGCAAGCGUUAAUCGGAAUUACUGGGCGUAAAGCGUGCGCAGGCGGUUUUGUAAGUCUGAUGUGAAAUCCCCGGGCUCAACCUGGGAAUUGCAUUGGGGACUGCAAGGCUAGAAUCUGGCAGAGGGGGGUAGAAUUCCACGUGUAGCAGUGAAAUGCGUAGAUAUGUGGAGGAACACCGAUGGCGAAGGCAGCCCCCUGGGUCAAGAUUGACGCUCAUGCACGAAAGCGUGGGGAGCAAACAGGAUUAGAAACCCGUGUAGUCCCAUGAU
RNAcentral lists this ribosomal RNA (479 nucleotides) under uncultured organism. RNAcentral describes it as "partial 16S ribosomal RNA". It matches the Rfam family "Bacterial small subunit ribosomal RNA", at positions 331 to 801 of the family's 1533-position model. The record is from RNAcentral.